CUGUUUUAAUUGACGAAAAUACCACUAGAGUUUGAAGGAAAUAACAUAACAAGAGGUAACAAGGUACUGGUUUGGCUUUGCAUUGUCUUUCGCUUUGGAAUAAAAGUAUAUUCCAAUGGUAUAUUGGGCAAUGCUGCCUCAUUUUUAUUGCUUAAAAGGGAAUCUAAUAACAGAAUCUUCUAUCACUCUCUUCCUGAAUUUAAAAAGGAAGUUUCUUCCUUUGAUUUACAACUUCUUAACCAAGCAAAGAACCACAACAACAUCGCUCUGUCCCUCAUGAACAAUCAAGUGCCAGGUUCGACUUUAUAAUCCCAUUAAAUUAUGUUUUAAUCGAUGGGUGGUAUAUUAAUUACACCGAACGCUUUCUGUUCUGCCCAGUCAAAGAAGCAGAAUGGUUAAACAAAAGAAAUGGUUUGGCCCUUCAUCUCCACUUUGGAGCUGUAAUCUGUGAAGGCUCAUCAUGUUAGCAUUGUACUUUGCAAGUGAAGGUAACCCCACCGGAGUCCAGAGAGCGCUGUGGUAAUUUCUCCCCAUUUCUGUCUCCUAAUGCAAAGCUAAGGAACCUUGUGCUAUUAACGAAGAUAA
Ziziphus jujuba (common jujube) is the source of this 585-nucleotide long non-coding RNA. RefSeq lists it as uncharacterized. The record is from RefSeq and is a predicted model, not a curated record. The transcript is spliced from 2 exons. Lineage: Eukaryota; Viridiplantae; Streptophyta; Magnoliopsida; Rosales; Rhamnaceae.